Long non-coding RNA from Pezoporus occidentalis (night parrot), 289 nucleotides. RefSeq lists it as uncharacterized. Lineage: Eukaryota; Metazoa; Chordata; Aves; Psittaciformes; Psittacidae. The transcript is spliced from 3 exons. The record is from RefSeq and is a predicted model, not a curated record.
GCCAGGAGGCUCUGGUAUUAGGAACAUGGAGGAUCAGGAGCAGGGAGGUAAACUAUUUUCACCAGUGAUUAAAGCAUGGCUCCAAAACCACAAGACAAAACCCGAUGCCGCCAGAUAGGCAGAUACGGCGGAGCAGUGACUAAAACCAUCCAGAACUGUUAGAUACUCAGAGUUAAUGAUGGAAGCUGAAGCUUGUUGUCAAGCUCUUUGUGAAACCGAUGCAGAGAAACAGGCCCUGGCGGAAGAAAGCGAGCAAUCCUGUUCUAGAAUAGAUGUCUCAGCUAGAUGG